AAAAUAACAGCACACACAUGCACUCACAGAGAGCAGCUACCUCCCUCCAUGACAAGCAGUUAGCAGCAAAAAUGAUGUCCAGGAGAGCAUGGACAUUUUGAAGGAAAGAGUCCUGUCAUUAUGUAAUAUUUCUCUAUAAUUGGACACCAGUGCUACCAGAAAUAUUGAAUCCCAGCACUGCAAACAUGAUUAUAACCACCAGCCUGGCAAGGGGGAGGAAUCUGAGGAUAAGAGCACUGGCUUGAAAUAGUUGCUGUUCCAAGAAAAUGACCCCAGGAAAAAAAGCCGCCACCACCACCUCUCUCACGAAACCAUCACAACUAGAUUGUUGUGAAGGCUGCCAACACAGCUGCUGCCGGGGCUAGGGAAGUAUGCAGCUGCUGCUACCACUGAGUGGCUGCUGCUCCUCUUUUGUGACAAUGACAAUUGCCCAAGCCUAAGAAGAUCAUGAAGAAAAUAUUUCAGAGGCCCCAUACGUAACCCCCAGAAAAGGCAAAAUUGAAACCCAGAUAAAAAACUGGCCUAGUGGGAAUAGUAAAUCCUACCUACUUCAGUGACCAAGAGGGAGAAGCAAAGGAGAAAUCCCAAACCUGGGAAGGAAGAUGCAAAACACUUCUCAUCAGAGUAAAAUAAAGGGGGGCAUAUCCAGAGGAAGAACAUUAUGACAACAGAAAGACCAACUUGUCACCUUACAUUGGUCAGAGAUGAAGCAGCUGCAGGAAGCUUUGUGCUCCCAUUCCAGAAAGAAUGGAAUACUUAUUUGGACCAUGUUCCAAGUGUGGUGUCACCAUCCAUUGGUACAAAGGCUAUAGCAAUAUUGGCAGGGUUUAUUAGGAAGAUGUUUGAAAUGCAAUAUAAGCUACUGGAGAGUACCAGUUCUGAAUAAGCAGCACCAGCAGUGAUGAAAUAAGAUGUGGAUUCAAGGCUCACCAGUUAAUAAAGAUACGUCUGGUUUAGCAGCCGGAGAUCUGUGUCAUGUGCCUGGGUGUCCUCCAAACACCACCCACUGCAACUGAAUUAGAUGCCAGAAGAUCCCACCCAAAGGAGUCACUCUUCCCUUGAAAACAAUUAAUAAUUCUCUGGAAGAAACAACCAGGAUACUGUUGCAGUGCUACAGGAAGGACUGAUAACAUCACGUGGGCUGGGACAUUCCUUUGUGUCAGCAAACACAAGUGGGAUGUUCCCUUUCAAGACCUAGAGCACAGAGGAAGUGAUUCUUUAAAACACAAUGUACAUUGAAAUGGGCUUUCGUCUAAAGAUCUCCUGGUAUUAUUACUCCUGCUUGAGGAUGCUUGUUCUAUCUGCAGCAGCAUUUGCUUGAUGUACUUCCCUUCUUUGUUACAUAGUGAAAGGCAGACAUAAUAUAAUCAAAUGAAGAGCAUUAUACCAUGAAAUGACACUGAAUAGUUUUCAGAAGACGUGUGUGUGUGUGUGCAUGCUUAUUAACAUAUGGACAAAGACACAUAUAAAUGUUAUUGGACUACAAGCUGUAUUCUGCAAAUCAAUAUAUACCUUCCUGGGAGUAUGACCCAUUGAACUUUAAAGGAUUUACUGCUGAAUAUAUAGGAUUGCAGUGUUAAUUGUCUUGACAUCAUGUGGUUGAUUAACUGUGAGUGGGCCAUUUUUAAUUGACAAAGACAAAUAUUAAAUGGCAGGGUCCAGAGUUAAGCAUACACUUGGAACUAUUUGGUGGAAUGAAAAAGAAAUUAAUGUAUGCAGUUUGAUGUACCAGAGAUAUGAUGACAACCACUGCCUUAAGAAGUCUUUAAAGGGAAAAUGAAAGGGAAUUUGUGGCAAUUAAGGUUAUCACUGAGUGGCUAUUAGCUGUAACAGCAAUAUAAAACUUUCAGUUUCAGAGACAGCAUGCUUCUAAAAGGCAGCUGUUGAGAGGUCGAGCAACAACAGGAUAGGGUUAUUGAAUCCCAUUCAAGGGAGAAAGGUGGGGUGUAAAAUGAUUCACUGACCAACUGAAUGAAAGUUGCUUUCAUGCCAAGCUUGUAGGCUUCCUGGUGUCAUCUCUAGGAAGCCACUAUGGGAAACAAGAUACUGAUGCAAACUUUGGUGUAUGAACUUUGGUGGAUUUUUCAUAUGUUCAUAAAAUGUCUAUUGUCUAAACUUCUCGGCACCUAAACCCCCAUAUAUUUAUCUACAUACAGAGCUUGGGAAAUAUUACUUUUCCAAAUUACAUGUCACAGAAUCCCAUGGCCAUUAUGGCCACAGUCUAAAAAAGUAAUUUUCCCAAACCCUGCAGAUAUGUAUGGGGUGGGGUCAUGGAAAUAUGACAGGGCUAAGAAUGUAAAUACACAUACCAUAACUAAAAUACACAGAAGACUUGGGAAAAUACUUUUUUUGGUCUAUUGCCAUAAUAGCUGGAGUAUUCUGGCAGUUGUCAUCCAAUUUUUUCCCCCAAACUCUGAAUAUAGAUAGGUAUAUAGGGACAUAGCUGUUGAGAAAUUUGGAUGACAGACACCUUUGUUUAAAUUCAAAUUGCACACAUACUGCCUCAUACCUCCUUACACACAGACACGCAUAUACAUAAGACUGUCAGGUCAGUACAUUGCCAGACGCUGAGAUUUUGGGUGCCAAAACCUGAAGUGUAGGAACAGGACCAUGUAAUAUUUAUUAAUUUAUUGAUUUAUUUAUUUCAUUUAUAUGCCAUCUUUCUCCCAGAGUGGGACCCAAGGCGACUGUCAUGUCACAGGAAACAGGUUCUAGUGAGGAUACAAGGUGCACCCCCUGCUGAUCUCAGUAAUGGUGAUAUGUUAGACACCCAGCACAGCUGAACAGAAUUUUGUUGUUGUUGUUGUUUCCGAUCUAUGACAUCCCUGUAGCAAACUUUCAUGGACUUUUCUGGGGCUGAGAGUAUGUGACUCAGUGUGUGAGUCUCCAUAGCUGAGCAAGGAAAUGAACCCUGGUCUCCAAAGCUGUAGUCUAAUGCUCAAACCAAUGUAUCAUACUGCCACAGAAUAUACCAUCCAUGUUUUAAAAUGUCUAAUAAAUAAGGGGUGUGUGUGUGUGUUUGUAAACACACACACACACACUUUCAAGACUGUUACCUUGAGAUUUCUCCCUCUCUCCUGGUGAACUGUCGAAGAGGAUGCCAGCCUAAGAGUCAGGCCAUGAGCUUUGACAACUCUACAUGUAGGAGUUUCAGUGGAAUUCUUGCUUUGUGAUACCUGCCUGGGAUUGCAAAAGUAAGCAGUUUGUCAAGCCUCAGUACAACCGUUCAUAAUUGCUGUUCAGCAGUGGGCUGCAUACACAAUGUGAAUCUCAGCAGAUACCCACUGGGAUAGUGGUAGAUUUUGAUAUGCAAGUGCUCAGUGGGGCAGUACCCAUAGCCAGGCCCUGGAGGAAAGUCCAAAAAAGGCAGGCAGCUGUGUUGAUCCUUAUCAGCAUAUGAUAUGUUCACUAUAAAAGAGGUCAAGAACACAUAACUACAUCCUAGAAUAAAUAACACUUAAUCACUAAAGAUUUUACUACAAGGAAAGAGAUUGUACGCAGUACACUAUACAACUAAAAGGCUGCUCCCCUGAAAGUAAUUAUAAAAAUGUGAAUCAAUCAUCAGAAAUCUAUGGCAGAUUUACAUCCAAGUUACAUCACUGUGUUCUAGUUUGAAAGUUGAGAAG
Molecule: long non-coding RNA, 3626 nt
Organism: Sceloporus undulatus (fence lizard)
Lineage: Eukaryota; Metazoa; Chordata; Lepidosauria; Squamata; Phrynosomatidae
Exons: 7
Source: RefSeq, a predicted model, not a curated record